GCUGGAAUGGCCGAGUCGUUAAGGCGAGUGAUUUGAAUUUCCCCGUUCACUUCCGAACGCUGCUUUUCAAAGGUUAUCACUUGGUGUUUCACCGCGUAGGUUCAAAUCCUGCUUCCAGCG
RNAcentral lists this transfer RNA (120 nucleotides) under Coprinellus micaceus. It matches the Rfam family "tRNA". From Rfam's summary of the family: Transfer RNA (tRNA) molecules are approximately 80 nucleotides in length. Their secondary structure includes four short double-helical elements and three loops (D, anti-codon, and T loops). Lineage: Eukaryota; Fungi; Basidiomycota; Agaricomycetes; Agaricales; Psathyrellaceae. The record is from Rfam by way of RNAcentral.